UUGAGAUUUCUAGUUCUUGUACACCUGGC
This 29-nucleotide non-coding RNA is filed under the name Rattus norvegicus (Norway rat). Lineage: Eukaryota; Metazoa; Chordata; Mammalia; Rodentia; Muridae. The record is from RNAcentral.